This 497-nucleotide ribosomal RNA is filed under the name uncultured bacterium. RNAcentral's name for it is "partial 16S ribosomal RNA". It matches the Rfam family "Bacterial small subunit ribosomal RNA", at positions 28 to 507 of the family's 1533-position model. The record is from RNAcentral.
GACGAACGCUGGCGGCGUGCCUAAUACAUGCAAGUUGAGCGCUGAAGGUUGGUACUUGUUCCAACUGGGUGAGCAGCGAACGGGUGAGUAACGCGUGGGGAAUCUGCCUUUGAGCGGGGGACAACAUCUGGAAACGAAUGCUAAUACCGCAUAAAAACUUUAAACACAAGUUUCAAGUUUGAAAGAUGCAAUUGCAUCACCCAAUGAUGAUCCCGCGUUGUAUUAGCUAAUUGGUGAGGUAAAGGCUCACCAAGGCGAAGAUACAUAGCCGACCUGAGAGGGUGAUCGGCCACAUUUGGACUGAGACACGGCCCAAACUCCUACGGGAGGCAGCAGUAGGGAAUUUUCCGCAAUUGACGAAAGUCUGACCGAGCAACGCCGCGGUAGUGAAGAAGGUUUUCGGAUCGUAAAACUCUGUUGGUAGGGAAGAACGUUAGGGGGAGUGGAAAGCUCAUAAAGUGACGGUAACUACCCAGAAAGGGACGGCUAACUACGUG